RNAcentral lists this long non-coding RNA (5072 nucleotides) under Sus scrofa (pig). RNAcentral's name for it is "lncRNA (ENSSSCG00000060449.1)". Lineage: Eukaryota; Metazoa; Chordata; Mammalia; Artiodactyla; Suidae. The record is from RNAcentral.
CAGCCAAUUAUUGCAGGAAUGUCCAACACUGAGAUUUUCCAGGCAGGCAUUGGACAGUUUCCUCAGUACAAUUUCUGGAAAAUGGAGCCUCAGGAGAUGGACAGUCUGGAAUGUUGUGUUAUUUUGCUCAGUGGUCACUUGAGCAAAGAAUAAGGAUAAGAACAGUUGUAAGAAUGGAAAAUGUUUCAAUUCUCCAAUCUCACACCAUAUUGUAUUCUAUUGACUAAUAUGAAAAGUAGUAUGGAUUUAAACAAGGGUCAAAAAACUUUUUCAGUAAAAGUCUGGAUGGUAAAUAUAUCCAGCUUUGUGAGCUAUGAAGAUCUUUGUCACAACUAUUCAACUCUGUCAGUAGCACAAAAGCAGCCAUAGAAAAUACAUAAAUGAUAGACAUGGCUGUGAUUCAUUAAAACUGUAUUUAAUAACACAGGUGGCAGGUCAUAUUUGGCCCAUGUACCAUAAUGUGCCAAGCCCUGCACUAAACCCUAAAUGUAGAAUAAAUCCAAACUCAGAGUGUCCAGACCCAGGAGAAGGUAGAAUUCAAUAAAAGUGACAGUAGUAGAAACCAUUAAAGAUUGUGGUCAGGUAUCAUGAGUGGGAAAGAAACAUUUUUACUAAUCUGCACAAUUCCUACUCUUACAUAUGGAAUUCAAGCCCCCGAGUGACUGCAAUGUAAAAAAAAAAAAUGUAAUCCAUUAUUUAUGAUUCAUGAGGAAGAGAAAAUAAGCUCUAACAUCCCAGGUCAAAGCUUGGCAGCCAUAUGAAUAUGUAUCAUCUAUUACUAAGUGUUCAUAAUAAAUAGCUAUAGAGAUUGAGAGGGCACCAGUCAAAACAAAGAACAGAAAAGACUGAGGCUAAUUAAAUCAUAAAGAAAAGUAAAAAUUAUGCAGAGAUUCACUAUGUUGUGAUAAAUCUAUUUCACUAAAAUUUACAAAAAGAGUUUCAACACAUGAUGGCUCAUACUUUAUAAUAGGCUCUAUUUAGUGGGAUAAACGAUGAUCCUUAUAAUUCCCUUUGUUAUUUGUGAAAAGAUCACAUUUCAAAGCACAGAAGGGGACCUCAAAGGGUUGUAUUGUUCAGCCUUUUAUCUCCAGGCAGGAUUAAUUAAGGUAAUAGCUAGCAUGUAUCUAGUGCCUACUGUGUGCCAGGCAUUUUCCACAUAAUAUCUCUCCAAUCCUCAAAUCCUUUGAAUCACAACUCUGCUGCUGACUACCUUUCUGACCCUGGUCAAUGAAAUCAAUCUCUCUAGACUGCUGUUUCUGAAUGCGAUCCUAUGGAGUCAGCUAGUCCCCACACUGUAGAACUCCGGGUAAAGAGGCCAGAGGAAAACAUGUCAUCUCUUUUUAAGAGGUUGUUUUCAGAGAUUUGAGAAACCUUAUUAACUAUUUAAGAAUAAAAUACAGGGGAAAUAUGCUAAAGCUAUUCAGAUGGUGAAAACUCAUUCAAAUGCUGUACAAAUGUUGGCAUUAAAUACAUGCCUGUCUUGGAAUGCUAUGUGAUCUUAGGCCAGUCUUUGAGACUUGACUCCUCUUUCCUACAGUGACUACCAGAGAGAGUGGGGAGAAAGAAAAAAGGAGAUAAAUAGUAUUUUCUUCUUCCUCUUCUUGGCAUAACAAGCUAUGGAAGGGCAAUGGCCAUAUUAUUGCACAUAACCUUUAAAUCUUUCCUAUCUCCUCUGGUCUUAAGUGCUCAGGAUUCUCUAAUGAGUGCCACUCAAGGGUUCAGCUCCUUUGAUAUUUCUUCUGGAACAUCACUCAAAUACCAUCUUUACUUUGUAUGUGCCUCUCCUCUCACCUAUAAUGAGGUGUUGUGUGAACUGUACCAGAGUGAUGGACAUGGGAUUAUUUACCACUUAGACAUUUGCUCUAGUUUCAUGUACUACUAGUUUCAUGUCCCUCACAUUAUGUUGCCAUGAGACAGGGACUAUGACUUCUGCUGCUUCUGAGUUCCCAGUCCUUAACUCUCUACUUGGCAAAAAGUUGGCAUUCAAGCGAAGCUUCCAUUAUGUCCUUCAUCUCUUUGAGGCCAGACAUUGUAUUAGGUGCUAGAAACAUGGUGUGGUACAGAAACAGACACAAUUCUUGCUGUCGUGGAUAGUCUUUAUAUUCCAGUGCAGGGAUGGACAUUAAUUAAUCACACAGAUGAAUUUGAAAUUCCAGUGUGACAAGUAUUAUGAGGUAGGGAUGUUAAGGACAGAAUAUGUCUCUGAUAUUCAGGAGCUUCUAGUCUAAGGCAGGUCCACAGGCAAUCCUGAGACACAGUGAUAAGUGGAGAGUAAGGAAAGCAUGGGGUGCUGUGGGAUUCCCAGGGGGAAGGUGCUGGAUGCUCUGGUGGCGAGGGAAAGCUGUCAGCUUUAGCUGACUUUUGUAAAUAUGAGAAGUACACGGAGUUGGAGAAAGGAAUUUCAGGCCUGUGGAUAUAUGCUAGAAAUCACAUGGUUUGCGUGGGGCAUUGCAGUCAUUUCAGAACUACGAGUGUAUGACCUAGAAGGAUAGAGCUGAGAAAAGAUGUUGCUAGAGAAAAAGCCAGAGAGACCAGAUCAGGGAAGGUCCCCUCCAUAUCCUGAGGUUCUGCAGAAAAGGGGAGAAUAGUAAGGACUUUUAAACAAAGAAGUGAUAAUGUAAGUUUUGAUUUUUUAGAUAAAUUACAAUGGCAACUUUAUGAAAGUUGGAUUUAAGGGUAAGGGGAAGUAGGAGGGAGAGUGUAUACUGGUGUCCCUGAGACAGAAUACUGGAUGAGGUUCCAGAAGAGCUCAGGCUUUGAAAAGAUACCAGUUGUGCAAAUUAUUUUCUAUGUGAACUUGGGUAAGGUAUUUAUUGUUCCUUUGCCUUGGUUUCCUUGUCUCUAAAAGAUAGAUAAUAGUAUCUAUCACAUAGGUUUAAUACUGAGAUUGAAUAGGUCAAUGAACAUAAAAUUCCCAGAACCAUGACUCUCGAUAAGUACUAUACAAAUGUUAAUUGUUAUUAUUCCUUUAGGAGAGAAAAUGUACUUGUUCAGGUUUGAGUAGGCUGAGAUUUCAAUGCUUGUGGGAUAUCCACGUGACAGUGACCACACCUGGUUUUGCUCACUACUGUAUCCCUCCAUACCUAACAAAGUGCCUGUUUCAUAGUAGGCACUUAGGAUAUGUAAUUUCAGACAAAUUGGUAAAUGGAUGAAUGCAUUAGAUAUAUGUGAGGCAGUUAGAUAUAUAUCUGAAACCCAUGGAGGAUCAAGGGAUGGAGGUAAUAGAUGUGGCAAUGUGGGCUAUGGAACUGACUGAGGCUUCCAAGGAAAUUCCUGUAGGAUGAGGAGAGCACAAGAUGGAAUCUUGCACAUCUCAGUUCAAGUUGCUAUAAUGUAGCAUCAUAGAUUAAGUGACUUAUAAACAACAGACAUUUAUUUCUCACAGUUCUGGAGGCUAAAGCCUGACUUCAGGAUACCAGUAUGGUCAGGUUCUGGUGAGGGUCCUCCUCCAGGUUGCAGAUUGCUGACUUCACAUUAUCUUCACAUGGCAGAAAGAGCAAGAAAGUUCUCUGGGUUCUCUCUUACAAGGGGACUAAUCCUAUUCAUGAGGGUUCCACCCUCAUGACCUAAUCACCUUCCACAGAUGCUCACUUCCAAAUACCAUCACAUUGGCAGUGGAGGGGAGGAAGUGUAGAAUUCCAACAUGUAGGAGUUCCCAUCAUGGCUCAGUGAUCAACGAAUCUAACUAGGAACCAUGAGGUUGCAGGUUCAAUCCCUGGCCUUGCUCAGUGGGUUAAGGAUCCAGUGCUGCUGUGAGCUGUGGUGUAGGUCGCAGAUGUGGCUUGGAUCCGGCGUUGCUGUGGCUAUGGUGUAGGCUGGCGGCUUCAGCUUUGAUUAGACCCCUAGCCUGGGAUCCUCCAUAUGCUGCGGGUGUGGCCCUAAAAAGAUGGAAAAAAAAAAAGAAUUCCAACAUAUGAAUUUAGGGGGAACACAAACUUUCAGUACAUAACAUUAGGGGACAGUAUUUAUGGGUCAGAGACAGCAGAAGAAAAGGAGAAUAGAGAGAGGAUCAAUAAAAAUCAGAUUAAAAAUAUGGUGAAUGUGAUAUCCAUAAGCUAAAAGAAAGUUUCUGUGAUAAAGAGAUCCACAGUAUCAAGUGCUGCAACAUCUUUCAGUUUAAGUUUGACUGUAAAUUUUCAAGCUACACUUUGCCACCCCACCCCAGCAUAUUUGAUCCCAACCUCCUCUUUGCAACCUCUGUAUAUCAUACACAUGCUUACUCCUUCCAUAUAAACUGCAUGGGUGUCUAGCUUCCUUCGCUAGAUUUUGAGCCACUUCUCUCAUCUUAUUAAUCUGAAUGUGCCUGGUAUCAAGCACAGUUCUUAUGAUAGAAAGCAGAUUGAAAUCAUCUUAAAUGAAGUGUGUUUACUUUAUGUCAAUAAACUGACUCUAGGACAUGAUUUUUUCUAAAGAAAAAAUAAAUAGGCACUAUUAUUUAUGCAUUUCCUAAUUCUCAUGAAACUGAAUGGGUAAAAGGAGGAGUCCGAAACUAAAGGGACAUAUGUUAUGCACCGUAUUGACUUUUUUUUUCACUCUUGAUUAUCCUACUUCGCUUGAGGAAAGCACUGUCCUGUUGUAAUAAGUUACAGAAGGGUUUGAUUUAAAAAUCAUGAACCCAGUGAAAACUAGCAUGUGAACAACUUAUUUGAAUUUGACAGACAAUCCAUCAAAAAGCAUUUAAUAGGUAUACUCACCAGUGACCUUUCAGACUCAAAGAAGGUAGUAUUUCUUCCCUUAGUGACAAAAUUAUACCCUAAGAAUAGCUUACUCACUGGUGGUUUCUGUUAAUAUCAUGAUUUUUCAUGCCUUGUAUUAGGUUUUUAUAUCCCUAUGGCCAGGAUCCAUGUUUUGUUGGUCUUUAUAUCCCCAUCAGCUAACACAGUAACUGACAGCUAGUAGGUUCUUGGUAAAAUUUCAUUGAAUAAAUUAUUAGCUUUAAACCACUCAUUAAGUAUGUGAAAUUAAUGUAAAAGUAAGAAAUGGUGCAAUUUUAAAUGUCAGCCUUAGUUUAGAAAACCUCCUUCACAGUAGUAUAGAAGAGAACAAGCUGUGAGGUUGUUCAGUUCAACUUU